Molecule: ribosomal RNA, 253 nt
Filed under: uncultured bacterium
Lineage: Bacteria
Description: partial 16S ribosomal RNA
Rfam family: Bacterial small subunit ribosomal RNA
Source: RNAcentral
UACGAGGGGGGCAAGCGUUGUUCGGAAUUAUUGGGCGUAAAGGGUGCGUAGGCGGUUUGGUAAGUCUUAUGUGAAAUCUACAGGCUCAACUUGUAGUCUGCAUGAGAAACUGCCGGGCUUGAGUAUGGGAGAGGUGAGUGGAAUUCCGAGUGUAGAGGUGAAAUUCGUAGAUAUUCGGAAGAACACCAGUGGCGAAGGCGACUUACUGGACACGUAUUGACGCUGAGGUGCGAAAGCGUGGGGAGCAAACAGG